AUUGAACGCUGGCGGCAUGCCUUACACAUGCAAGUCGAACGGCAGCACGGGAGCAAUCCUGGUGGCGAGUGGCGAACGGGUGAGUAAUAUAUCGGAACGUGCCCAGUCGUGGGGGAUAACGUAGCGAAAGCUACGCUAAUACCGCAUACGAUCUAUGGAUGAAAGCGGGGGAUCGCAAGACCUCGCGCGAUUGGAGCGGCCGAUAUCAGAUUAGGUAGUUGGUGAGGUAAAGGCUCACCAAGCCGACGAUCUGUAGCUGGUCUGAGAGGACGACCAGCCACACUGGGACUGAGACACGGCCCAGACUCCUACGGAGGCAGCAGUGGGGAAUUUUUGGACAAUAGGGCGCAAGCCUGAUCCAGCAAUGCCGCGUGCAGGAUGAAGGCCUCGGUUGUAACGUAGCGUUUU
Molecule: ribosomal RNA, 408 nt
Filed under: uncultured bacterium
Lineage: Bacteria
Description: bacterial SSU rRNA
Rfam family: Bacterial small subunit ribosomal RNA
Source: RNAcentral